GGGGACUCGGGUAGUGGCGGACGGGUGAGUAACACGUGGGAACGUGCCUUUAGGUUCGGAAUAACUCAGGGAAACUUGUGCUAAUACCGAAUGUGCCCUUCGGGGGAAAGAUUUAUCGCCUUUAGAGCGGCCCGCGUCUGAUUAGCUAGUUGGUGAGGUAAAGGCUCACCAAGGCGACGAUCAGUAGCUGGUCUGAGAGGAUGAUCAGCCACAUUGGGACUGAGACACGGCCCAAACUCCUACGGGAGGCAGCAGUGGGGAAUCUUGCGCAAUGGGCGAAAGCCUGACGCAGCCAUGCCGCGUGAAUGAUGAAGGUCUUAGGAUUGUAAAAUUCUUUCACCGGGGACGAUAAUGACGGUACCCGGAGAAGAAGCCCCGGCUAACUUCGUGCCAGCAGCCGCGGUAAUACGAAGGGGGCUAGCGUUGCUCGGAAUUACUGGGCGUAAAGGGAGCGUAGGCGGACAUUUAAGUCAGGGGUGAAAUCCCGGGGCUCAACCUCGGAAUUGCCUUUGAUACUGGGUGUCUUGAGUAUGAGAGAGGUGUGUGGAACUCCGAGUGUAGAGGUGAAAUUCGUAGAUAUUCGGAAGAACACCAGUGGCGAAGGCGACACACUGGCUCAUUACUGACGCUGAGGCUCGAAAGCGUGGGGA
This 650-nucleotide ribosomal RNA is filed under the name uncultured bacterium. RNAcentral describes it as "bacterial SSU rRNA". It matches the Rfam family "Bacterial small subunit ribosomal RNA", at positions 82 to 767 of the family's 1533-position model. The record is from RNAcentral.